UCGGCGGCAAAGUCGGUUUUCCCGAACUCGUAGCCUAGUCUAAUUCAGCAUUAUUUCUGCUAGUCAAACUGCUAAUUGUGUAGCAUACUAAAUGGUAGUAUUUUAUCCAAGUUAACAAUUUUGGUGAAGUUACCUCUCUGACAUGGUUGUGCCUGAGAGAGAUUUUCUUACAAAAUUACGCAAAGUAAAGAUUGAAGGAAGGAAACACUUGGAAAUAAGGAAAUCGAUAGGAUAUCUUGGGAUCGCAAUAAGGAAGACAGACUCCAGUAUGAAGAUAAUUUUCCAGAGCAGCAGAAUACAAUGGAUCUCUGAGCUCAUUAUACUUUUGUAAUGCUGCCAUAGUGACUGCUGUUAACCAUAUCAGACCGACUAUUGUAAGUUUGGAGGUUAACUGCAAUCAGGAAAAAUGAGGAAUGGCAAGCAGUAUGCUUUGAUGUAGUGCCACAGUCAAAUGAUUUUCUGAGAGGAGAUUAAAGUGACCACAUGGCACUGGAUAAGAGCUGGUUUUGAGGAGGUAAGGGGUAGAUAUAUCCAAGGAGGCAAUCAGGAGGGAGAAGCAAUACAGUAGUACCUUGAGAUACAAGUAUAAUUCAUUCCUGGACUGAGCUCGUAAGUCAAUUUGUUCGUAUCUCAAUUCAAUAUUUCCCAUAUAAAAUAACUGACAAAAAUUUGAUCCAUUCCAGCCCUCUAAAAACACCCAAAUUAAUUAUAAUAAUAAUUGAAAAAUCAUGU
Macrobrachium nipponense is the source of this 732-nucleotide long non-coding RNA. RefSeq lists it as uncharacterized. The transcript is spliced from 4 exons. The record is from RefSeq and is a predicted model, not a curated record. Lineage: Eukaryota; Metazoa; Arthropoda; Malacostraca; Decapoda; Palaemonidae.